AAAACAUGUCUUUUUGAAAAUAAUAUAAAGUCUAAUCUGCCCACUGAUUUUAAAUUGAAGGGCUGCAGUAUAUUGACUGUACAAAGGUAGCAUAAUCAUUAGUCAUUUAAUUGAUGACUUGUAUGAAAGAUUGAAUGAGAUAUAUACUGUCUCUAAUUUAAUUAUAGAAUUUAAUUUUUUUAUUAAAAAGUUAAGAUAUUUUAAAAAGACGAGAAGACCCUAUAGAGUUUAAUUGAUUAUUAAUUUGAUUUUAUUUUGAAAAAUAAUAAUGAAAUUUAAUAGUUUAUUUUAUUGGGGUGAUAAAAAAAUAAAUAAAACUUUUUUUAAUAAAAAACAUUUAUAAGUGAAUAAAUGAUCCAAUAAUAUUGAUUAUAAGAAAAAAUUACCUUAGGGAUAACAGCGUAAUUUUUUUUUUUAGUUCAAAUAAGAAAAAAAGUUUGCGACCUCGAUGUUGGAUUAAGAUAAAAUUUAAAUGUAGAAGUUUAAAAUUUUGAUCUGUUCGAUCAUUAAAAUCUUACAUGAUCU
Molecule: ribosomal RNA, 525 nt
Filed under: Acrapex kafula
Lineage: Eukaryota; Metazoa; Arthropoda; Insecta; Lepidoptera; Noctuidae
Description: partial 16S ribosomal RNA
Rfam family: Bacterial large subunit ribosomal RNA
Source: RNAcentral